Molecule: ribosomal RNA, 2223 nt
Filed under: human metagenome
Description: bacterial LSU rRNA
Rfam family: Bacterial large subunit ribosomal RNA
Source: RNAcentral
UCAAGCUAAGAAGAGCGCAGGGCGAAUGCCUUGGCACUGGGAGCCGAUGAAGGACGCGAUAAGCUGCGAUAAGCUGCGGGGAGGAGCAAAUAUCCAUUGAUCCGCAGAUUUCCGAAUGGAGAAAUCCGUAUGGAGAAGUCCAUACAUCAUAUACUGAAUCCAUAGGUAUAUGAGGGAAACCGCCUGAACUGAAACAUCUAAGUAGGGCGAGGAAAAGAAAUCAACCGAGAUACCGCAAGUAGUGGCGAGCGAACGCGGCAGAGGCCAAACCCGUAGUAGAAAUACUAUGGGGGUUGCGGACUGCAUUUAGCAUUGUUGAUCUUUAACCGAAGGGCAUGGGAAGGCCCACCGAAGAACGUGAGAGUCGUGUAGGUGAAAAGGAGAGACAGCGAGCAGGAUCCAGAGUACCGCGGGACACGAGGAAUCCCGUGGGAAGCCGGGGGGACCACCCUCCAAGCCUAAAUACUACCCAGUGACCGAUAGCGUAUAGUACUGUGAAGGAAAGGUGAAAAGGACCCCGGGAGGGGAGUGAAAUAGAACCUGAAACCCUGUGCUUACAAGCACCGAGAGCCCGUCAAUGGGUGAUCGGGUACUUUUUGUAGAACGGUCCGGCGAGUAUAUGGAACAAGCAAGGUUAAGGUCUUCAGGACUGAAGCCGAAGGGAAACCAAGUCUUAAUAGGGCGCACAGUUUGUUUCAUAUGACCCGAAACCGGGUGACCUAUCCAUGUCCAGGUUGAAGUGGCGGUAAAACGCCAUGGAGGACCGAACCAACCCCCGUUGAAAAGGUGGUGGAUGAGGUGUGGAUAGCGGAGAAAUUCCAAUCGAACUCGGAUAUAGCUGGUUCUCCCCGAAAUAGCUUUAGGGCUAGCGUUGUGUUAGAUUACCGGAGGUAAAGCACUGAAUGGUUUAGGGGCUGAUAAAGUUACCGACGCCUAUCAAACUCUGAAUGCCGGAUAAUUGAUGCACAGCAGUCAGACAGUGUGAGAUAAGUUUCAUUGUCAAAAGGGAAACAGCCCAGACCCACAGCUAAGGUCCCAAAUGUAUGUUAAGUGGAAAAGGAUGUCCAGUUGCACAAACAACCAGGAUGUUGGCUUAGAAGCAGCCACACAUUCAAAGAGUGCGUAACAGCUCACUGGUCGAGUGACCGGGCGCCGAAAAUGUAACGGGGCUAAACAUACAACCGAAGCUUGGGCUGCACAGCAAUGUGCGGGGUAGGGGAGCGUUGUGUGCGGGGAGAAGCACGAGCGGAAGCGCGUGUGGACUGCACAGAAGUGAGAAUGCCGGAAUGAGUAGCGCGAAUUAUGUGAGAAUCAUAAUGGCCGAAAGCCUAAGGUUUCUGGAGGAAGGUUCGUCCGCUCCAGGUUAGCCGGGAGCUAAGGUGAGGCCGAAAGGCGUAGCCGAUGCACAUACGGUGGAGAUUCCGUAGCCAUCAAAAGAUUUAAGCAGAGGGACACAGUAGAAGGGUACAUGCCGGGCGUUGGUAGCCCCGGUUGCAAGGGACCGAAAUUAGAGUAGGGAAGAUGGACUUGGAUACUGGCGAGAAAAGCUCUGUGGAUAUCUGCGAUGCCCGUACCGCAAACCGACACAGGUAGGUAGGAAGAGGAUUCUAAGGCCAACGGGAGAAGGGUUGUUAAGGAACUCGGCAAGUUGACCCCGUAACUUCGGGAGAAGGGGUGCUCUGGAAACAGAGCCGCAGAGAAUAGGUCCAGGCAACUGUUUAGCAAAAACACAGCUCUCUGCUAAAUCGAAAGAUGAUGUAUAGGGGGUGACGCCUGCCCGGUGCUGGAAGGUUAAGAGGAGGAGUGAGAGCCCCGAAUCGAAGCCCCAGUAAACGGCGGCCGUAACUAUAACGGUCCUAAGGUAGCGAAAUUCCUUGUCAGGUAAGUUCUGACCCGCACGAAAGGCGUAAUGAUCUGGACACUGUCUCAACAGCCCACCCGGCGAAAUUGUAGUACCGGUGAAGAUGCCGGUUACCCGCGACAAGACGGAAAGACCCCAUGGAGCUUUACUGCAGCCUAAUAUUGGAUUUCGGUAUUUCAUGUACAGGAUAGGUGGGAGACUAGGAAACACAGGCGUCAGCUUGUGCGGAGUCGCCCUUGGGAUACCACCCUUGAAGUGCUGGAAUUCUAACCUGUGGCCAUGAAUCUGGUCAGGGGACAUUGUUAGGCGGGCAGUUUGACUGGGGCGGUCGCCUCCAAAAGAGUAACGGAGGCGCUCAAAGG